This 253-nucleotide ribosomal RNA is filed under the name uncultured Lachnospiraceae bacterium. RNAcentral describes it as "partial 16S ribosomal RNA". It matches the Rfam family "Bacterial small subunit ribosomal RNA", at positions 524 to 776 of the family's 1533-position model. Lineage: Bacteria; Bacillati; Bacillota; Clostridia; Lachnospirales; Lachnospiraceae. The record is from RNAcentral.
UACGUAUGGAGCAAGCGUUAUCCGGAUUUACUGGGCGUAAAGGGAGCGUAGGCGGCCUGCCAAGUCUGAUGUGAAAUACCGGGGCUCAACCCCGGGGCUGCAUUGGAAACUGGCAGGCUGGAGUGCCGGAGAGGCAGGCGGAAUUCCUAGUGUAGCGGUGAAAUGCGUAGAUAUCAGGAGGAAUACCGUUAGCGAAGGCGGCAAUCUGGCUGGAAACUGACGCUGAGGUGCGAAAGCGUGGGUAGCAAACAGG